AUGGAUCGCCAGUUUCUUGAGAAUCUUCUGAGGAUGCUGAAAUUUCUCUCUUCAAUGAGCGCCGUAUCUGCUGGGAAAAUACUUGGGGCAGUCCUGUGUUUAGCCACACUGUCUCCUAUGUACUUCACGCACUCUGCACCCCGUGUCAUCGAAUCCACUCGCUACAUCACCAAGGCCUUGCAGAUCUACUCCUUCAAAAUCUCUGACCUAAAUGGCUACUGGAAGUGGCCACUCUGUGUGUACGGCGUGGUCGCUGCUCGAGACGCUGUGGACUGUAACCGCAACCUUCUCUUCUCUCGCUCCAGGGCUAACUGCCAAGUAGUCACUGAAAAGGAUCCUUUUUUGCACUUGACUGGCCCUUCUCGUGCAAUUGUGGCUGACGAACCUGUUGACUUUGAAGUCGAGCUAAAGAUAAAAUGUGGAACAAAUCAGUCCCAAGAUAUAGCUUUGAUCAGUUCUACUUACCACUACACUUCUAGAGGUGAUGCUGCUUUUUUCUCUGGCCGCUCUUGUUCGGCAACGUUGAGCCUUGAGACAGUUCCUAGAGCGGCCCAGGCAACUAUAUUGUCUAUUCGAGUGGUUGGAGGAGUGUCUCUUUUCGAAUUUGGAGGCCGGGUUGCUUGCUCGUUCUCUACUGAAGAGUAUGUUGAUCCCACAUGCGAGCAAGUUGUGCUGGUUGAGUCUGCUGAAAAGAUUCCUGAGGAUGAUGGUUACCUUACACUGUCAAGGAAGGUUGUUACGGCAGGACUACAAGGAGGAUUGCAAGUUGCCAUACAAGCCUAUGGGGGAUCUGACCGUCCAUCCGUAUCCGGUCUUCUUUACUUCCCUUCCCAGUAUUGCAGGGUAAGUCGGCGCACAUGCUUGGUCGGUGGCUUUGAGGUGGAGGUAACUGUUGCUUGGUCGUGGUUUGUACAGGACAAGAUGGAAAUCUUGUGA
This 936-nucleotide ribosomal RNA is filed under the name Triticum aestivum (bread wheat). RNAcentral's name for it is "partial small subunit ribosomal RNA". The record is from RNAcentral. Lineage: Eukaryota; Viridiplantae; Streptophyta; Magnoliopsida; Poales; Poaceae.